AGAGUUUGAUCCUGGCUCAGGACAAACGCUGGCGGCGUGCCUAACACAUGCCAAGUCGAGCGUGAAAAGGGGCUUCGGGCCCCGAGUAAAGCGGCGAACGGGUGAGUAACACGUGGGCAACCUGCCUCAAGGACUGGGAUAACCCCGGGAAACCGGGGCUAAUACCGGACGAUGUCGCCCCGCACAGGCGGGUCGACCAAAGGUAGCUUCGGCCUCCGCCUUGAGAUGGGCCCGCGUCCUAUCAGCUUGUUGGUGAGGUAACGGCUCACCAAGGCUACGACGGGUAGCUGGUCUGAGAGGAUGAUCAGCCACACUGGGACUGAGAUACGGCCCAGACUCCUACGGGAGGCAGCAGUGGGGAAUAUUGCACAAUGGGGGAAACCCUGAUGCAGCAACGCCGCGUGGAGGAUGACGCAUUUCGGUGUGUAAACUCCUUUUUAUAAGGGGAAGAUAAUGACGGUACCUUAUGAAUAAGCACCGGCUAACUCCGUGCCAGCCGCCGCGGUAAUA
Molecule: ribosomal RNA, 510 nt
Filed under: bacterium enrichment culture clone Cont191_3130
Lineage: Bacteria
Description: bacterial SSU rRNA
Rfam family: Bacterial small subunit ribosomal RNA
Source: RNAcentral